This 425-nucleotide ribosomal RNA is filed under the name uncultured bacterium. Its description in RNAcentral is "SSU rRNA". It matches the Rfam family "Bacterial small subunit ribosomal RNA", at positions 369 to 808 of the family's 1533-position model. The record is from RNAcentral.
CAAUGGGGGAAACCCUGAUGCAGCGACGCCGCGUGAAGGAAGAAGUAUCUCGCCUAUGUAAACUUCUAUCAGCAGGGNAAGAUAGUGACGGUACCUGCACUAAGAAGCCCCGGCUAACUACGUGCCAGCAGCCGCGGUAAUACGUAGGGGGCAAGCGUUAUCCGGAUUUAUUGGGUUUAAAGGGAGCGUAGGCGGACGCUUAAGUCAGUUGUGAAAGUUUGCGGCUCAACCGUAAAAUUGCAGUUGAUACUGGGUGUCUUGAGUACAGUAGAGGCAGGCGGAAUUCGUGGUGUAGCGGUGAAAUGCUUANAUAUCACGAAGAACUCCGAUUGCGAAGGCAGCCUGCUGGACUGUAACUGACGCUGAUGCUCGAAAGUGUGGGUAUCAAACAGGAUUAGAUACCCUGGUAGUCCAAGGGCGAAUUC